CAGCAGUGGGGAAUAUUGGACAAUGGGGGGAACCCUGAUCCAGCCAUGCCGCGUGUGUGAAGAAGGCCUUUUGGUUGUAAAGCACUUUAAGCGAGGAGGAGGCUACCUAGAUUAAUACUUUAGGAUAGUGGACGUUACUCGCAGAAUAAGCACCGGCUAACUCUGUGCCAGCAGCCGCGGUAAUACAGAGGGUGCGAGCGUUAAUCGGAUUUACUGGGCGUAAAGCGUGCGUAGGCGGCCAAUUAAGUCAAAUGUGAAAUCCCCGAGCUUAACUUGGGAAUUGCAUUCGAUACUGGUUGGCUAGAGUAUGGGAGAGGAUGGUAGAAUUCCAGGUGUAGCGGUGAAAUGCGUAGAGAUCUGGAGGAAUACCGAUGGCGAAGGCAGCCAUCUGGCCUAAUACUGACGCUGAGGUACGAAAGCAUGGGGAGCAAACAGGAUUAGA
RNAcentral lists this ribosomal RNA (442 nucleotides) under uncultured Acinetobacter sp. Its description in RNAcentral is "bacterial SSU rRNA". It matches the Rfam family "Bacterial small subunit ribosomal RNA", at positions 349 to 782 of the family's 1533-position model. The record is from RNAcentral. Lineage: Bacteria; Pseudomonadati; Pseudomonadota; Gammaproteobacteria; Moraxellales; Moraxellaceae.